Molecule: ribosomal RNA, 403 nt
Filed under: uncultured bacterium
Lineage: Bacteria
Description: partial 16S ribosomal RNA
Rfam family: Bacterial small subunit ribosomal RNA
Source: RNAcentral
GACGAACGCUGGCGGCGUGCUUAACACAUGCAAGUCGAGCGGAGCGGCGAACGGGUGAGUAACGCGUGAGUAACUGCCCCCCUCUCUGGGAUAACAGUUGGAAACGGCUGCUAAUACCGGAUAGUGGGGGAUGACUCGCGUCCUAUCAGCUUGUUGGUGGGGUAGUGGCCUACCAAGGCGACGACGGGUAGCCGGCCUGAGAGGGCGACCGGCCACAGUGGGCUGAGAGACGGCCCAAACACCUACGGGAGGCAGCAGUGGGGAGUGUUGCAGAAAGGGGGAAUCCGUGAUGCAGCAACGCGCGGGCAGGAUGACGGCCUGCGGGUAGUAAACCGCUUUCAGCCAUGAAGCGGUAGUGGCAGAAGAAGCACAGGCUAAUUACGUGCCAGCAGCCGCGUUAAUA